GACGAACGCUGGCGGCGUGCUUAACACAUGCAAGUCGAGCGGAAAGGCCCUUUCGGGGGUACUCGAGCGGCGAACGGGUGAGUAACACGUGAGUAAUCUGCCAUUCACUUGGGGAUAACUACCGGAAACGGUGGCUAAUACCCGAUAUGACCAAUCACUGCAUGGUGUGUUGGUGGAAAGUUUUUUCGGUGGAGGAUGUGCUCGCGGCCUAUCAGCUUGUUGGUGGGGUAAUGGCCUACCAAGGCUUCGACGGGUAGCCGGCCUGAGAGGGUGACCGGCCACACUGGGACGGAGACACGGCCCAGGCUCCUACGGGAGGCAGCAGUGGGGAAUAUUGGACAAUGGGCGAAAGCCUGAUCCAGCAACGCCGCGUGAGGGAUGACGGCCUUCGGGUUGUAAACCUCUUUCAGCGGGGACGAAGCGCCGGUAAUGGUGGUGACGGUACCCGCAGAAGAAGCACCGGCCAACUACGUGCCAGCCGCCGCGGUAA
This 490-nucleotide ribosomal RNA is filed under the name uncultured bacterium. RNAcentral describes it as "partial 16S ribosomal RNA". It matches the Rfam family "Bacterial small subunit ribosomal RNA", at positions 28 to 523 of the family's 1533-position model. The record is from RNAcentral.